This 492-nucleotide ribosomal RNA is filed under the name uncultured bacterium. Its description in RNAcentral is "bacterial SSU rRNA". It matches the Rfam family "Bacterial small subunit ribosomal RNA", at positions 21 to 507 of the family's 1533-position model. The record is from RNAcentral.
GGCUCAGGAUGAACGCUAGCGGCAGGCUUAAUACAUGCAAGUCGUGGGGCAGCAUGAGUAGCAAUACUUGAUGGCGACCGGCAAACGGGUGAGGAACACGUACACAACCUUCCUUCAAGCGGGGAAUAGCCCAGAGAAAUUUGGAUUAAUACCCCAUAAUAUAUUUGAUAAGGCAUCUUAUUAAUAUUAAAGCUUCGGCACUUGAUGAUGGGUGUGCGGCUGAUUAGAUAGUUGGCGGGGUAACGGCCCACCAAGUCUACGAUCAGUAGCUGAUGUGAGAGCAUGAUCAGCCACACGGGCACUGAGACACGGGCCCGACUCCCUACGGGAGGCAGCAGUAAGGAAUAUUGGACAAUGGACGAAAGUCUGAUCCAGCCAUGCCGCGUGAAGGAUUAAGGUCCUCUGGAUUGUAAACUUCUUUUAUAUGGGACGAAAAAGGGCAUUCUUGUUCACUUGACGGUACCAUAUGAAUAAGCACCGGCUAACUCCGUG